RNAcentral lists this ribosomal RNA (384 nucleotides) under uncultured bacterium. Its description in RNAcentral is "bacterial SSU rRNA". It matches the Rfam family "Bacterial small subunit ribosomal RNA", at positions 32 to 409 of the family's 1533-position model. The record is from RNAcentral.
AAUCAACGCUGGCGGCGUGCCUCAGACAUGCAAGUCGAACGAUUAAAGGCUCCCUUCGGGGAGUGCAUAGAGUGGCGCACGGGUGAGUAACACGUAAGUAAUCUACCUUCGAGUGGGGAAUAACGUCCGGAAACGGACGCUAAUACCGCAUAAUGCAGCGGCAUCGCAAGAUGACAGUUGUUAAAGAUUUAUCGCUUGAAGAGGAGCUUGCGGCAGAUUAGCUAGUUGGUAAGGUAAUGGCUUACCAAGGCUACGAUCUGUAACCGGUCUAAGAGGACGGUCGGUCACACUGACACUGAAUAACGGGUCAGACUCCUACGGGAGGCAGCAGUCGGGAAUUUGGGCAAUGGGGGAACCCUGACCCAGCAACGCCGCGUGAAGGAU